Molecule: transfer RNA, 71 nt
Filed under: Bipolaris maydis C5
Lineage: Eukaryota; Fungi; Ascomycota; Dothideomycetes; Pleosporales; Pleosporaceae
Rfam family: tRNA
About the family: Transfer RNA (tRNA) molecules are approximately 80 nucleotides in length. Their secondary structure includes four short double-helical elements and three loops (D, anti-codon, and T loops). Further hydrogen bonds mediate the characteristic L-shaped molecular structure. tRNAs have two regions of fundamental functional importance: the anti-codon, which is responsible for specific mRNA codon recognition, and the 3' end, to which the tRNAs corresponding amino acid is attached (by aminoacyl-tRNA synthetases). tRNAs cope with the degeneracy of the genetic code in two manners: having more than one tRNA (with a specific anti-codon) for a particular amino acid; and 'wobble' base-pairing, i.e. permitting non-standard base-pairing at the 3rd anti-codon position.
Source: Rfam by way of RNAcentral
AGCUGCUUGGCGCAGCGGAAGCGCGCCGGGCUCAUAACCCGGAGGACCUCGGAUCGUAAGUUCAUCUGCUA